UAAGACGAAGGGGGCUAGCGUCGUUCGGAAUUACUGGGCGUAAAGGGCGCGUAGGCGGUCCAUUAAGUCAGGCGUGAAAGCCCUGGGCUCAACCUGGGAGUGGCGCUUGAUACUGGCGGACUAGAGAGUGGGAGAGGUUGGUGGAAUUCCCAGUGUAGAGGUGAAAUUCGUAGAUAUUGGGAAGAACACCGGUGGCGAAGGCGGCCAACUGGACCAUUUCUGACGCUGAGACGCGAAAGCGUGGGGAGCAAACAGGA
Molecule: ribosomal RNA, 257 nt
Filed under: uncultured prokaryote
Description: partial 16S ribosomal RNA
Rfam family: Bacterial small subunit ribosomal RNA
Source: RNAcentral